GCCAGGAAGUCUGACACCCAUUACUGAACCUUCUUCAACCGAUCUUCCUGUUCGAUGAUCUAGUCGCAUAUCAACCCCACCUUCCUGGCUUCAAGACUACGUAACGGGAUCGGCCGAAUGGAAACAUGUAUCCUAUGCAUAAUUUUCUUUCUAAUUCACGAUUUUACUCACAGUGCAUAUCUUGCUUACAUCACAGCCAAC
RNAcentral lists this long non-coding RNA (201 nucleotides) under Phaseolus vulgaris (common bean). RNAcentral's name for it is "long non-coding RNA (PVUL_LNC004188)". Lineage: Eukaryota; Viridiplantae; Streptophyta; Magnoliopsida; Fabales; Fabaceae. The record is from RNAcentral.